This 61-nucleotide transfer RNA is filed under the name Typosyllis sp. patternB. RNAcentral describes it as "tRNA-Lys". The record is from RNAcentral. Lineage: Eukaryota; Metazoa; Annelida; Polychaeta; Phyllodocida; Syllidae.
AUUUGAGAAGCUAUCGCAGCGAUGAGCUUUUAACUCAUAGACAGGUUUACGCCCUCAAUUA